Lactuca sativa (garden lettuce) is the source of this 1844-nucleotide long non-coding RNA. RefSeq lists it as uncharacterized. The record is from RefSeq and is a predicted model, not a curated record. Lineage: Eukaryota; Viridiplantae; Streptophyta; Magnoliopsida; Asterales; Asteraceae.
GGUUUUUUCUUUGCUUUGCUGUAAGCACAAUUGUUUUAAUGUAUUGGGACUUUUCUCUUUCGUGUAUCUUCAAAGCCACGUGUUUAGAUGUGUUGUCCACCGCUACAACACCCAAUAGAAAUAACCAUGUUGUCACUCACUCAACAUCCAUCGAUCCAAUCCACCGCUUCUUUUUUACUUCCCUCCAUCACCUCUCACUUGAUCUUCCCUUCCUACUCACUCAUGUCGGCCUCUUCAAAUCGUCGCCUGAUCUCGACGAUCACACCUUCUCCUCCUCUAAUUAUGUUCUCAUCUUAGACGGUUCCUCCCCCUCCCUCCUACCUGUCCCCGUCCACGUCGUUACCGCCUCCAUCAAAGCUAAAGUCCCAAUCAUACCCUACUCCGAUUUCGCCUACAGUCAUGGCGAAUCAGAGAUGGCAGCGUUCAACUGCUGUUAGUUUGAUAUCUCUCAUCGGCUUCUUCUUCUCCUCCGGAUACAGACGACCCUUCCACCGUUACCGAUUCUAGUGCCAUUAUCCUCGAGCCAAUUGGGAUCUGCUUUCUUGGACUAGACGAAUGUAAUCUGUGUUUCCAGUGUUCCUGUUAGUCUGUCACCUGAGCUUUGGAAGGAAAACAACUGGAGGUGGGAAAUCAACUCUAAUCCAAGUUCUAACAUCUCCACCCUCAGGCUGUGUAUGUGGUAACAAUAUCCAGUCUCCAAAAGACCAAAAUACCCUCGCUAUAUACUUAAUGAAACAAAAAUUUAUAUACCAUGUAGGCAAAAUUUAAUUUCAUUUUUGAUGGAUUUCAAAUAUCCUAAUGGGAGGAAGAGGAUACAAUUUGAUUCUAUAUAAAAAGACGAAACUACCCUUAUCAUAUUUUCAUGUAUACUACAGAUAUGUUCCUUGCACUUGAUAAAGAUAUGAACUGAACACUGAGCAAGCAAGAGCUUCGAGAGUAUGCAGACGGGACACUCACAUAUAUUUUUAUCGAUAAGGCUUUUGAUGAGCAUGUGCGUAGGGGUAAAACGGGAAGAGGAAAUGCUCGGGAGAUGGACUUCGAGAGUUUUCUUGACUUUGCUCUAUCCCUUGAAAACAAAGGCACUCCAUAGGGAAUUACAUAUCAUUUCUGAUGUUUAGAUCUUAAUGGAAGAGGCUUCCUUACAAGAGUUGAUAUUCACACCCUUUGUAGGUUUCGUGUAGUUUGACAAUGGAACAACUGAAAACAUACCAGAGACGUAGAGACCAAACAAGAAAUGUUAUAAAAGGAGUGAAGUAUGUUUUGAGAUCAGCUAUUGUUACAUCUAAUAUUUUUAAAGCUAAUUUACUAUGUUUUUAACAUGAAGUUGUAAAUAAUUCAAAUCCAUGUUUUGCAUUUUAAUUUAUUAAUUUUUUACCAUCCAAUGUAAAAAGUAAAUUGAUUGCAGGCUAUGGUGGUGUGUUUUUGAUCAUACAACUGAAAAUAAGUGAUAAUUCGUUGUUCAAAGAUUUAGAGAGAUUUUUGUGCAUAUGGACCAGUGGUGUUAAACAUACUUGGGUUGGAUAUGACACAUGUUCUAUUUACUAUUUUGGGUUGUCAGUAGCUAAUUUCUUCAAAAGGCUAAAGAAACUAACUAUUCAAGUAUGGGUUAUUAAUGGUGUUAUAGUUACAUAAUUAACAAUUCAAUUAGAGAGCUAUAUCACUCCACUAAAAUUGUAUACAUUAAAGCUAUUUUGUUUGUUCUGUUAUGAGCCGUUUUGUAUUUAUUUUUUCAGAUUCUUGGUCAUUCACUUGGUAGUGGCACACCAAAGUAGAUUGUUAUUUGUUGCAUUUUCAUAUUUAAAUAUCAUAGUCCUUUACAAAGUUACUCAAUGAAAUCUUCAUGU